Patella vulgata (common limpet) is the source of this 1373-nucleotide long non-coding RNA. RefSeq lists it as uncharacterized. The transcript has 3 exons. The record is from RefSeq and is a predicted model, not a curated record. NCBI's taxonomy places the organism in Eukaryota, Metazoa, Mollusca, Gastropoda, Patellidae.
UCAUAGCAGUUUUGGGUAAUACUGAUGAUAUUACAGCGGAGGGAUAGGGGGUGUAAAGUGUCUUUCUGCAGAGCAGUCAUUGUGUCGGAAGUGAGAUUUUCACCCCAGUCAACUUCAAAUCCGUGUAGCAAAAAAUCUAAAUGGUCAACCCCCUACAAAAUUAUGAUGAGGAGAUUGCCAAAUGUUGUCCCCAUUGUGCCUAUAAAGAUUGGAACCAACGGAAUGUUGAGAAAAAAGCUACAGCCUGUGAUGUUACAGCCAUUUAACAUUGAAGUCAAUGGGCAAAUAAUUGCUAGUCUGAGUCCUGAUGAGAUAAAGAAACAUGGCCGACUCGGGAUGUUGAUAUUUUUUCAAGGGCUUAUUUCCUGAAGUUUUGAAUGGAAAGUGUCAGAAAUAGUAAGAAUACUGCUUUUUUAUUGCCCAGCAGUGCCAGGGCAAUGUUUCAUAGAGUGGAAUGAUUGACCUCAACACAAGUAUUAAAAAAAAAGAAGCAAAACAGGUCUACAUCUCAAAACCUGAUCUCUUCCUGGACUGGCUUUAGGAGAACGAUGAUGCAUAUCAAUUUCAUCCCUGAUCUCUAUGACACCUGUGGUGGAAGUGGAGGGCAAAUCGUAAUCAGUUUGGGACCUCUGUAAACUUUGCUUUUUGGUGAUGACUUAAUUUCCGAGCUUGAAAAGGACGCUUGUGUGUUUAUCAUGGCCUCUCAUAUUGGAAGAUAACAUUAAUGGCUUGUGUGUUGAUCGACGGUUGUGCAUAUCUCUUGGUCAGGAAAGUUGUAGGCACCAUCGCCAUUGUAAAUCAUUUGACAGGCUCGAGUGAACGGGGCGACCUAUGAUUGGUCAGCAAUGUAUCAGAUUCCAUACCGGGGGGUGGGGAUGAAAAAACUGUUGUAGUGUUACAUAAUCAGAUUAUUUCAACUUACUUAUCCUGUGGAAAUACAGCUAUAUAGGAGAUAUUUUGAAAUUCAUAGGCACUGCAUGUUUCAACAUUUUAGAUUUGACCACAAUUUGGCACUUAAAACUAUGUUAACAGAGAAAAACUGUGUGGUUUUCGAUGAAAGUGUUAAAAGUCUAAUAUUGCAUCAUGAUUACUGUUUUAAAGUAUUUUCGUGUUUGAUUUAUAUUGAAUUCAUCUCAUCUUUUUGAAGAAUGCAUUUAUGUUCAAAAAUAAAAAUGUUCUGUGGAAUUCAAAAUUCAUGUGCUUUUAAAUUAUCAGAUUCCAAACUGGGGGGUAGGGAUGAAAAAGCUGUUGUAGUGUUACAUAAUCAGAUUAUUUCAACUUACUUAUCCUAUGGAAAUACAGCUAUAUAGGAGAUAUUUUAAAAUUGAUAGGCACUGCAUGUUUCAACAUUUUAGAUUUGACCACAAUUUGGC